This 603-nucleotide ribosomal RNA is filed under the name Lanzia sp. D1400. RNAcentral's name for it is "SSU rRNA". It matches the Rfam family "Eukaryotic small subunit ribosomal RNA", at positions 555 to 1162 of the family's 1831-position model. The record is from RNAcentral. Lineage: Eukaryota; Fungi; Ascomycota; Leotiomycetes; Helotiales; Rutstroemiaceae.
GCAAGUCUGGUGCCAGCAGCCGCGGUAAUUCCAGCUCCAAUAGCGUAUAUUAAAGUUGUUGCAGUUAGAAAGCUCGUAGUUGAACCUUGGGCCUGGCUGACCGGUCCGCCUCACCGCGUGCACUGGUUCGGCCGGGCCUUUCCUUCUGGGGAGCCGCAUGCCCUUCACUGGGUGUGUCGGGGAACCAGGACUUUUACUUUGAAAAAAUUAGAGUGUUCAAAGCAGGCCUAUGCUCGAAUACAUUAGCAUGGAAUAAUAGAAUAGGACGUGUGGUUCUAUUUUGUUGGUUUCUAGGACCGCCGUAAUGAUUAAUAGGGAUAGUCGGGGGCAUCAGUAUUCAAUUGUCAGAGGUGAAAUUCUUGGAUUUAUUGAAGACUAACUACUGCGAAAGCAUUUGCCAAGGAUGUUUUCAUUAAUCAGUGAACGAAAGUUAGGGGAUCGAAGACGAUCAGAUACCGUCGUAGUCUUAACCAUAAACUAUGCCGACUAGGGAUCGGGCGAUGUUAUCUUUUUGACUCGCUCGGCACCUCACGAGAAAUCAAAGUUUUUGGGUUCUGGGGGGAGUAUGGUCGCAAGGCUGAAACUUAAAGGAAUUGACGGAAG